CCUACGGGGGGCAGCAGUGGGGAAUAUUGGGCAAUGGGCGCAAGCCUGACCCAGCAACGCCGCGUGAAGGAAGACGGCUUUCUGGUUGUAAACUUCUUUUCUCAGGGACGAAGAAAGUGACGGUACCUGAGGAAUAAGACACGGCUAACUACGUGCCAGCAGCCGCGGGAAUACGUCGGUGGCGAGCGUUCUCCGGAUUUAUUGGGUGUAAAGGUCGUGUAGGCGGGAGGGCAAGUCAGGUGUGAAAACU
This 250-nucleotide ribosomal RNA is filed under the name uncultured bacterium. Its description in RNAcentral is "partial 16S ribosomal RNA". It matches the Rfam family "Bacterial small subunit ribosomal RNA", at positions 338 to 602 of the family's 1533-position model. The record is from RNAcentral.